RNAcentral lists this ribosomal RNA (1669 nucleotides) under Nothobranchius ocellatus. Its description in RNAcentral is "16S ribosomal RNA". It matches the Rfam family "Bacterial large subunit ribosomal RNA". Lineage: Eukaryota; Metazoa; Chordata; Actinopteri; Cyprinodontiformes; Nothobranchiidae. The record is from RNAcentral.
ACUCAAAAGCUAGCAUAAAAUUAAUAUUCAACACAUAAAUCUUAAUUCAUAUUAACACACUAAAAAAUAUAAUUAAACCAUUCUCCAAAUCUUAGUAUAGGUGAUAGAAAAGGAAAAUUUAGCUAUAGAUUAAGUACCGCAAGGGAAUGCUGAAAGAGAAAUGAAACAACACAGUAAAGUAAAGUAAAGCAGAGAUUAGAACUCGUACCUUUUGCAUCAUGAUUUAGCAAGAAUUUAUAAGCAAAAUGUUUUCUAGUUUUUAACCCCGAAACUAAGUGAGCUACUCCAAGACAGCCUAAGUAAUAGGGCAAACACGUCUCUGUAGCAAAAGAGUGUGAAGAUCUUUGAGUAGGGGUGACAGACCUACCGAACUUAGUUAUAGCUGGUUGUCUGAGAAUUAAAUAUAAGUUUAGCCUUUUAUUUUUUUAAUUUAAUUCUGAUUAAUCAUAAGAAUAAUAAAAGAAUAUAAAAGAGUUAUUCAUAAGGGGUUCAGCCCUUAUGAAAAAGGAUACAACCUUAAUAGGCGACUAAUGAACAUAUCUUAUAAAGUUAAUGUUUUAGUGGGCUUAAAAGCAGCCACCUAAGAAAAAAGCGUUAAAGCUUAAACAUAUUAUUUCUCUUAAUAAGGAUUAUUUCAUCAUACAUCCCUGAAUUUAUCAGACCCUUCCAUUACAUCUAUGGAAGAGAUUAUGCUAAUAUGAGUAAUAAGAAAGCUUUCUCCAAGCACCCCUGUAAUUAAGAACGGAAAAUCCUCCUAAAAUUAAACGGUCUCAACUAAAGAGAGAAUUAAAUAUCAAAAAGAUAACAAGAAAACUAUUUAACUAUAACCGUUAACCCUACACUGGUGUGCAUAAAAGGAAAGAUGAAAAGAAAAAGAAGGAAUUCAGCAAACAUACUAAAGCCUCGCCUGUUUACCAAAAACAUCGCUUCUUGACUCCCUAAGAUAAGAAGUCCCGCCUGCCCUGUGACAAAGUUUUAACGGCCGCGGUAUUUUGACCGUGCAAAGGUAGCGUAAUCACUUGUCUUUUAAAUAAAGACCUGUAUGAAUGGCAUAACGAGGGCUUAACUGUCUCCUUUUUCCCAUCAAUGAAAUUGAUCUCCCCGUGCAGAAGCGGGGAUAAGAACAUAAGACGAGAAGACCCUAUGGAUCUUUAGUCACAAGAAUAGAACAUUUACAAUCACCAACCUAAAAGGUGAAAUCUAAUGGAACCUAUUCAAGUGUCUUUGGUUGGGGCGACCACGGAGUAAAACACAACCUCCAUGAGGAAUGAAGACACUUCUUCCAAUCUAAGAGUAACAACUCUAAGAUAUAGAAAUUCUAACCAUAAUGAUCCGGCAAAACCGAUCAACGAACCAAGUUACCCUAGGGAUAACAGCGCAAUCCUCUUCUAGAGCCCAUAUCGACAAGAGGGUUUACGACCUCGAUGUUGGAUCAGGACAUCCUAAUGGUGCAACAGCUAUUAAGGGUUCGUUUGUUCAACGAUUAAAGUCCUACGUGAUCUGAGUUCAGACCGGAGUAAUCCAGGUCAGUUUCUAUCUAUGAAAUAUUUUACCCCAGUACGAAAGGACAGGGUAAAAAAGGCCAAUGACUCAUCAAGCCUUCUUCUUAACUAAUGAAGACAAAUAAAUAAGUAAAAGAAAAUACUUAUUUAGGAAAAGAUAAUUCCAC